GAUGAACGCUGGCGGCGUGCCUAAUACAUGCAAGUCGAGCGAACGGACGAGAAGCUUGCUUCUCUGAUGUUAGCGGCGGACGGGUGAGUAACACGUGGAUCACCUACCUAUAAGACUGGGAUAACUUCGGGAAACCGUAGCUAAUACUGGAUAAUAUUUUCAACCGCAUGGUUCAAAAGUUAAAGACGGUCUUGCUGUCACUUAUAGAUGGUUCCGCGCUGCAUUAGCUAGUUGGUAAGGUAACGGCUCACCAAGGCAACGAUGCAUAGCCGACCUGAGAGGGUGAUCAGCCACACUGGAACUGAGACACGGUCCAGACUCCUACGGGAGGCAGCAGUAGGGAAUAUUCCGCAAUGGGCGAAAGCCUGACGGAGCAACGCCGCGUGAGUGAUGAAGGUCUUCGGAUCGUAAAACUCUGUUAUUAGGGAAGAACAGAUGUAUAAGAAAAUGUGCACGUCUUGACGGUACCUAAUCAGAAAGCCACGGCUAACUACGUG
RNAcentral lists this ribosomal RNA (497 nucleotides) under uncultured bacterium. Its description in RNAcentral is "partial 16S ribosomal RNA". It matches the Rfam family "Bacterial small subunit ribosomal RNA", at positions 28 to 507 of the family's 1533-position model. The record is from RNAcentral.